AUUCCUACGGGAGGCAGCAGUGGGGAAUAUUGGGCAAUGGGCGCAAGCCUGACCCAGCAACGCCGCGUGAAGGAAGAAGGCUUCCGGGUUGUAAACUUCUUUUAAGAGGGAAGAGCAGAAGACGGUACCUCUUGAAUAAGCCACGGCUAACUACGUGCCAGCAGCCGCGGUAAUACGUAGGUGGCAAGCGUUGUCCGGAUUUAUUGGGUUUAAAGGGUGCGUAGGCGGUCCGUUAAGUCAGCGGUAAAAUUGCGGGGCUCAACCCCGUCGAGCCGUUGAAACUGGCAGACUUGAGUUGGCGAGAA
RNAcentral lists this ribosomal RNA (305 nucleotides) under uncultured bacterium. RNAcentral describes it as "bacterial SSU rRNA". It matches the Rfam family "Bacterial small subunit ribosomal RNA", at positions 335 to 656 of the family's 1533-position model. The record is from RNAcentral.